AUCCAAGGUGAUUCUCUCUCCAUGGGGCCAACUAGUGCCUCUCUCAGGAAAGUAGCAACUUGGAAGAAAACUUGUCAUGACUAAGGUCUUUGGGAAACAGAGGAUACUUGGUUUCUUUUGCCUUCCUUUGGCUGCCUACAUGC
Ictidomys tridecemlineatus (thirteen-lined ground squirrel) is the source of this 143-nucleotide small nucleolar RNA. The record is from Ensembl. Lineage: Eukaryota; Metazoa; Chordata; Mammalia; Rodentia; Sciuridae.